Molecule: ribosomal RNA, 324 nt
Filed under: uncultured eukaryote
Lineage: Eukaryota
Description: partial 18S ribosomal RNA
Rfam family: Eukaryotic small subunit ribosomal RNA
Source: RNAcentral
CCCUUAGAUGCUCUGGGCCGCACGCGCGCUACACUGGUCGAUGCAACGAGUUUCUUUCCUUGGCCGACAGGCCUGGGCAAUCUUUGAACAUCGAUCGUGAUCGGGAUAGAUUCUUGUAAUUUUUGAUCUUAAACGAGGAAUUCCUAGUAAACGCAAGUCAUCAGCUUGCAUUGAUUACGUCCCUGCCCUUUGAACACACCGCCCGUCGCACCUACCGAUUGAAUGGUCCGGUGAAAUCUCCGGACUGGCGUGAGUCGGAGCAAUCUGACAAACACCGGAAAGUUGAUUAAACCUUACCAUUUAGAGGAAGGUGAAGUCGUAACA